GACGAACGCUGGCGGCGUGCUUAACACAUGCAAGUCGAACGGAAAGGCCCUGCUUUUGUGGGGUGCUCGAGUGGCGAACGGGUGAGUAACACGUGAGUAACCUGCCCUUGACUUUGGGAUAACUUCAGGAAACUGGGGCUAAUACCGGAUAGGAGCUCCUGCUGCAUGGUGGGGGUUGGAAAGUUUCGGCGGUUGGGGAUGGACUCGCGGCUUAUCAGCUUGUUGGUGGGGUAGUGGCUUACCAAGGCUUUGACGGGUAGCCGGCCUGAGAGGGUGACCGGCCACAUUGGGACUGAGAUACGGCCCAGACUCCUACGGGAGGCAGCAGUGGGGAAUAUUGCACAAUGGGCGGAACCCUGAUGCAGCAACGCCGCGUGCGGGAUGACGGCCUUCGGGUUGUAAACCGCUUUCGCCUGUGACGAAGCGUGAGUGACGGUAAUGGGUAAAGAAGCACCGGCUAACUACGU
This 467-nucleotide ribosomal RNA is filed under the name uncultured bacterium. RNAcentral's name for it is "partial 16S ribosomal RNA". It matches the Rfam family "Bacterial small subunit ribosomal RNA", at positions 28 to 506 of the family's 1533-position model. The record is from RNAcentral.